This 468-nucleotide ribosomal RNA is filed under the name uncultured bacterium. RNAcentral's name for it is "partial 16S ribosomal RNA". It matches the Rfam family "Bacterial small subunit ribosomal RNA", at positions 28 to 507 of the family's 1533-position model. The record is from RNAcentral.
GACGAACGCUGGCGGCGUGCUUAACACAUGCAAGUCGAACGGAAAGGCCCUGCUUUUGUGGGGUGCUCGAGUGGCGAACGGGUGAGUAACACGUGAGUAACCUGCCCUUGACUUUGGGAUAACUUCAGGAAACUGGGGCUAAUACCGGAUAGGAGCUCCUGCUGCAUGGGGGGGGUUGGAAAGUUUCGGCGGUUGGGGAUGGACUCGCGGCUUAUCAGUUUGUUGGUGGGGUAGUGGCUUACCAAGGCUUUGACGGGUAGCCGGCCUGAGAGGGUGACCGGCCACAUUGGGACUGAGAUACGGCCCAGCCUCCUACGGGAGGCAGCAGUGGGGAAUAUUGCACAAUGGGCGGAAGCCUGAUGCAGCAACGCCGCGUGCGGGAUGACGGCCUUCGGGUUGUAAACCGCUUUCGCCUGUGACGAAGCGUGAGUGACGGUAAUGGGUAAAGAAGCACCGGCUAACUACGUG